AAGCCAUGGCGGAAAAUCCCCCAGCCCGCACGGGCAUAUUCGCAUGUCCAUGUAGGAAUGCCCCGUAAGCUAUUGCUCGUGCGCACGCGCGCAAGGCUGGUUAGGCGUACGCGCAAGGCGCACGACCCAUCCGCCUGGGAGUUGUACCACACGCCAUCUAUGAUGUGACAAGCGCAAGAUGCUUGUGCAUGUAAGGGCCUAGCCCUACGCACGUGUCAGUGCACCAUUCAUGCACACAGGCUAGCUACACGCGCACCAAGCCUAGCCUUUCUCACACGACAAAAUUGGAUUGUGUGCGGCCCAUUGGGCCCCGAGCUGCCACCUACUACCACCUAUCGCCACCUACCACCGCUUGCCGCUUCUUACCACCGACCUACUGCCGCCUACCAUCGGCCUAUCGUCGCUGCUACCACCACCAAUCUCUACCCUACCGCCAUCACUGCCUUGGGAGUCAUGCCUCCCUUGAACAAUUGCAUCGAUGAUGUCAUGAUGAUGUCAUUAUUU
Molecule: long non-coding RNA, 504 nt
Filed under: Carica papaya (papaya)
Lineage: Eukaryota; Viridiplantae; Streptophyta; Magnoliopsida; Brassicales; Caricaceae
Description: long non-coding RNA (CPAP_LNC000821)
Source: RNAcentral